UACGUAGGGGGCGAGCGUUGUCCGGAUUUAUUGGGCGUAAAGAGCUCGUAGGCGGUUGCGGAAGUCGGAUGUGAAAGACCGGGGCUCAACUCCGGGACGUCAUUCGAUACUCCGCUGACUUGAGUCCGGUAGGGGAAGGUGGAAUUCCUGGUGUAGCGGUGAAAUGCACAGAUAUCAGGAGGAACACCGGUGGCGAAGGCGGCCUUCUGGGCCGGUACUGACGCUGAGGAGCGAAAGCUAGGGGAGCGAACAGG
This 254-nucleotide ribosomal RNA is filed under the name uncultured bacterium. Its description in RNAcentral is "partial 16S ribosomal RNA". It matches the Rfam family "Bacterial small subunit ribosomal RNA", at positions 524 to 776 of the family's 1533-position model. The record is from RNAcentral.